This 1170-nucleotide long non-coding RNA is filed under the name Anas platyrhynchos platyrhynchos (common mallard). RNAcentral describes it as "lncRNA (ENSAPLG00000019113.1)". The record is from RNAcentral. Lineage: Eukaryota; Metazoa; Chordata; Aves; Anseriformes; Anatidae.
AUGAAUUUCCCCAGCCUCAUCUGCAGAUCAGUUGCAGAAAACUGAUGAAACCAGAAGAGGUGAAAGACUUCUGGUGAUGGAGACUCAAAGCAAAAGACAGACACAGGAGCGCUGCUGUUCAACAAAGGAUGAACUCUCCUAGUGGGAGCUGUCUGCUCACUGGUACCCCAAGGGUGGUUUUUGCUGAAGGAUUUGGACACAAAGCAGGACCCUCAGAUGGAAGAGAGAAGAGAAUGGAUUUUGUCACCAGCCUCUGAGAUACAUGUGUCUGCCUUACAGAUAGAAAGUUACUGCAAAGAGGACUUUUAUGCUGGCUGCAUACCUGUGUGGAAGCCACCUCUGUGGUUUACCUGGUUGAAGCUCCUGUUAGCACUUGAAUUUCAUCCAUCCUGCAGCAUGACCUGGUGGUUCUGUGAUACCACCAUCAGAAGAUGUAGGUAACCUUCAAUCUUUUAAUGUGUUCACCUGUCCUGGGACAAGUGAGGCAGAGAAACACAUCCUUGUAUCCUUGUUCGGUAGCUGAUGAAGUAAGGGCCUGAGAGGUGGGUUGUAUGGUGGCAGCAGAUGAGUGGCUUGGAUGUCUCCAGCCCUUAGGCUGGAGUCUUGUUUAUUAGCCCAGUCUUAAAAAUGUAUAAAAUCACAGUUACAAAUGAUAGGCUGUGGCAGCUGGCUGUGCCUGGCCUGUCAGAAUUAGGGAAUUUGUGUUUCUUUCUCAACAGCAAUGACUGAAGAGAAGGGUGCUGUUCACACUGACACACCCACAAACACUUACACUGGCUCAUUGUGAAACAUUUGGCAUUUCGUGUUGCACAAGCCAAAAGGGAAAGGAUUUAGGCUGACAACUGGAAGUAGAGGUGAAACAGCAGUCAAGGUGUACUGAGGAUGUUGCUAGCAUUUCAUAUCUCCAUGGAUCCCAGCCCAAAGAUGACAAAUAUCUAGUGCAGGGGACUAGAAAUGGCACUGGGAGAAAACAAGUUAAGGGAGUGACUAAGACAGGUUUCCCCCAUCAUUUUCUGUUUUGUAAUAUUAGAAAGAUCUGUUAUGGAUCAGUGUUUAUGAACCAGACAGCAGUGACCUUUUAGAAAUGGGAUUUGGCUGGGGUCUUACAAAGGUCCUCAAUAAUGUAAACUCUACUCACACAAAUAAAGAACACAAAGUGAGAUUUCUGCA